CCUAUCCAGGAUGAUGAGCUGAUCUCCUACCUGCUGCAUGGGAUGGACAUGGACUACCGGCCCCUCAUCUCUGCACUCGACGCCCGCGUCAUGCCGGUCUCCCUCGACGAGCUGUACGCCAUGCUGAGCAACUUUGAUC
Molecule: small nucleolar RNA, 139 nt
Organism: Aegilops tauschii subsp. strangulata
Lineage: Eukaryota; Viridiplantae; Streptophyta; Magnoliopsida; Poales; Poaceae
Product: small nucleolar RNA Z247
Source: RefSeq, a predicted model, not a curated record